Molecule: long non-coding RNA, 635 nt
Filed under: Pan troglodytes (chimpanzee)
Lineage: Eukaryota; Metazoa; Chordata; Mammalia; Primates; Hominidae
Description: lncRNA (ENSPTRG00000054352.1)
Source: RNAcentral
AAUUCCCUCCCUUUUAUUGCCGACCUGUACUGGUGCCUCCUCACUCCCCUUGACUCCAAUGCCGUCCUCUGUUUUCCCAGACCCUGUUUCCUCCCACCCCCCAGAAUGCCCCUCUUGGUUCAACCCAGCUCCUGCACCCUUCCACCCCAAUCGUGCCGUUGAGGGCAGUUACUUCCUCCUCACUUCCCCUGGUGUGGCUGGACAGGGCUGCUGGUCAGGAGGCAUGUAGUCAUGUUGGAAGGCAGCAGUCCCAGAGCCAGGAAAGGGGUUAAGGCCAUCACAAAGUUCAGCAAGAGGCGGGCUCUGUGUGGGUCUGGGGCCACCAGAACUCGUUGCUCAGAGGUCCCCAGUGCUGGGAGCAGGAGGAACCCCGCGUGCCUUCCAUCGUCCUCUGCAUCUCAGCUCUGACUUGGCAGCCCUCCGACCUCGGCCUGGUUACUUCGCCUUUCAGCAGCUUCUUUAUGUGGCUGCAGUGAGAAUUAAGUGACAUAAUCCAUGUACAGUGCCAGGCACACAGAAGGUCAUUCAGGAAAGAUGAUUAAACUACUCACCCAGGGACACUGACUGGUAAGUGGCAGAGCCUGGGUUUGAACCCAGGUCUACUGAAUGCUAGAGCCUGCGGAAACUGGAGCUUU